Suricata suricatta (meerkat) is the source of this 270-nucleotide long non-coding RNA. RefSeq lists it as uncharacterized. The record is from RefSeq and is a predicted model, not a curated record. Lineage: Eukaryota; Metazoa; Chordata; Mammalia; Carnivora; Herpestidae. The transcript has 3 exons.
GGCAGGUGGGCAAGGCUGGAGCUGUGGGGUCCCUGGGCUCCCCUCUGGCCUUUCCUCCAGCUGUGGCCCGGAUUUGCUGCCUUCCCUGACUUCACCAGCCCCGAGGCCCUGGACUGGUGGCAGGACAUGGUGGCCGAGUUCCACGCCCAGGUGCCCUUCGACGGCAUGUGGAUUGACAUGAACGAGCCCUCCAACUUCGUCAAGGGCUCUGUGUACGGCUGCCCCGACAGUGACCUGGAGAAUCCGCCCUACGUGCCGGGGGUGGCUGGC